UUCUACAAAUAACUCACGCACACCCCCUCCCUUCUCUUCCCCAUUCUCGGCCUCCCCUCUCUCUCUCUAUACUCUCUUUUCCUCCAUUGAUGUCCAUUGAAGAAAGCUUAGAGAAGCUUCAUCAAACACUACUAUGAGAUAAUCCACCAUCCAAUCCAAUCAAACACUAUCAUAUCUCAUCAAAUUCAAGAAGCUAGAACUAAGAUCAAAGUUGGAGCAAAGUCUUGAUCACCUUUUAAAUCCUUGAACACGAGAAGAGCAAGGAAGUAAGUAACUCCACUUUGACGGGAGAUUUUGAGUAAGGUCUUCAGGAUAAGCGGAGGGGGAGUAUGGUGCGGUGCUGGUGGAGAAUGUUUCGGGUUGACGUUUUCUUUCUCUAUCGUAUGUCUGUUUUGUCGAUAGAGUUUUGAUAUGAAGUUAUGUUAAAUAGAGUUUGAUGUUUAAGAUACUUAAUUUCCUUUGAAAAUCAAGCAAUACACUCACGGUUAUAUGUCUUCAUACAUAUAAUCGAUUCGCCUUUUGCUGCGAUACUCUGCAUAUUAUUCUUCAUUAUGAAAAAUGAGCUAUACCCGUUUUAUUU
Molecule: long non-coding RNA, 580 nt
Organism: Salvia miltiorrhiza (redroot sage)
Lineage: Eukaryota; Viridiplantae; Streptophyta; Magnoliopsida; Lamiales; Lamiaceae
Exons: 3
Source: RefSeq, a predicted model, not a curated record